GAAACAGAUGCUAAUACCGGAUAACAACACUAGACGCAUGUCUAGAGUUUAAAAGAUGGUUCUGCUAUCACUCUUGGAUGGACCUGCGGUGCAUUAGCUAGUUGGUAAGGUAACGGCUUACCAAGGCAAUGAUGCAUAGCCGAGUUGAGAGACUGAUCGGCCACAUUGGGACUGAGACACGGCCCAAACUCCUACGGGAGGCAGCAGUAGGGAAUCUUCCACAAUGGACGCAAGUCUGAUGGAGCAACGCCGCGUGAGUGGGGUUUCGGCUCGUAAAGCUCUGUUGGUAGUGAAGAAAGAUAGAGGUAGUAACUGGCCUUUAUUUGACGGUAAUUACUUAGAAAGUCACGGCUAACUACGUGCCAGCAGCCGCGGUAAUACGUAGGUGGCAAGCGUUGUCCGGAUUUAUUGGGCGUAAAGCGAGUGCAGGCGGUUCAAUAAGUCUGAUGUGAAAGCCUUCGGCUCAACCGGAGAAUUGCAUCAGAAACUGUUGAACUUGAGUGCAGAAGAGGAGAGUGGAACUCCAUGUGUAGCGGUGGAAUGCGUAGAUAUAUGGAAGAACACCAGUGGCGAAGCGGCUCUCUGGUCUGCAACUGACGCUGAGGCUCGAAAGCAUGGGUAGCGAACAGGAUUAGAUAUGGUAGUCCAUGCCGUAAACGAUGAGUGCUAAGUGUUGGGAGG
RNAcentral lists this ribosomal RNA (681 nucleotides) under Lactobacillus gasseri. RNAcentral's name for it is "bacterial SSU rRNA". It matches the Rfam family "Bacterial small subunit ribosomal RNA", at positions 153 to 830 of the family's 1533-position model. The record is from RNAcentral. Lineage: Bacteria; Bacillati; Bacillota; Bacilli; Lactobacillales; Lactobacillaceae.